Molecule: ribosomal RNA, 229 nt
Filed under: uncultured bacterium
Lineage: Bacteria
Description: partial 16S ribosomal RNA
Rfam family: Bacterial small subunit ribosomal RNA
Source: RNAcentral
AAUGUAGGCGGUUUGGUAAGUCAGGUGUGAAAGCCCUCAGCUCAACUGAGGAAUUGCAUUUGAUACUACCGAACUUGAGGACAGGAGAGGAAAGUGGAAUUCCCGGUGUAGCGGUGGAAUGCGUAGAUAUCGGGAGGAACACCAGAGGCGAAGGCGGCUUUCUGGACUGGUCCUGACACUGAGAUUCGAAAGUUAGGGGAGCAAACAGGAUUAGAUACCCUGGUAGUCC